GGCCGGGCGGAGAGCUGGGCCCUCGGCCCGGAGUCCCGCGCACCGGGCUGGGGGCCAGACCGCUGGCGUAAAGCUCGUGGACUCAGGGCGGUUUGGCGAAGGUCCAGAGCGUUUAAAGCCAAACGCGGGAAGCCCAAGGCCCUGGCCCUGCCGCUCGUCCGUUCUCCCCCGGGCCUCCCCUGGAAACCCACACGUCGCGCUUCCCCCGUGCUUCCGAGGGCCGCGCCGGCUCCCCCAGGGCGGGGGCCAUCAGAACGCGUCUCCUCCGAGCGGCCAGUCCGCUCCUAAAGCCACUUUCUAGGGUUUCGACGGGCGGUUGGAUCUGUGAAGCCCAGCAGGGGGUCGGACAGCUUCACGUCUUGCCACGCCCGCGGCGCUGGGGCUCCGGCUCGGAGCGGCUGAGCCACCUUACUCCUGCCACAUCCCCAGGGCACUGCUGCGUCUGAGCGCGACCACGGAUAGAAGUAUCCCUCUCUUGAUGCUGUCUGUGGAUGCGUUGGUUUGGACAGUGGGGACAAAGAGGCUGGAGUCCAGGCAACGCUACUGUGAACCCAACCAAGGCACAGCUGCAAACCCCAAGCGGGAGCACCAGGAGUAGGCUGGGUGGCAGAGGCCGGCACCCGACUGCCCCCCGCCCGCCACUGGGUUACGGUGCCUUGUGGCCUGAGAGGCUAAAAGACAAAAGGAAACCAACUAUGCAGAUGCCAGAAGGUCAUGGGUGAGGCGAAUACAGGUUGAAGAGAAAAGGACACCAGCUCCGUGGAUAGACAGAGCCGGCAGAGGAGGAACGGGGGCUGCGAGUCUGAGGCUAGUGCCCUCCCGCCCCCCUGCAGCCUCACAGCCCAUCCGAGGAGCCAAGGACACAGCCCAGAGUGCCACGGGGUGGCUGCCAGGAGCAGCCGGUCCCCACUGCUUCUUGGUGGUGGCUGCACGUGAGCUGGAGAGAGCGGCUGCUCUGCAUCUCCUGCCCUGCAGGACAGACCCUCUGCUGCAGCCAGACCCACGCCAGGUGACCCACCUCCUGGAGGCGCCAGGCACGGCCCCCGCCAUGGUGAACACACCCACCAAGGGUGAGGGAGGGUCACACAGGCUUGCCUCUCGCCCCCAGGACAGAGACACGGAGUCCCCAAGCAGCUCGUGUCUGGGCCAGCCUCCCACGGAUGCAUGUCAUGCAGCUUGGAGCUACGACUCUUGUUAAGGCAAAGAGGCAGCAGGGCGCCCACAGCUCCCUGGGGAAGGGUCGGACCUGAGCCCAGCCAGAGGGAACCAGGGACCCCGGAGCAUGUGCAGGGCCUGACUGCAGCCUUGUCCUGGGAUGGCCUGGACCCACACCUCAGCCCGGCACCCACCUUCCGGUGUGCUGGUGGCGGUCCCACGCGGCCCUCGCAACAAGCUCCUACUCCCUCACCUGGCCUCCCGGCCAAGUCGCCGUGCCAGAGGCCAGGGCCCCAGAGCUUCUGGUCCUGCCUGGGCACCCAGCUCACCCCCUGCAGGCCUGAUCAGUGGCACCGGCCGCCCGGGGGUGGGGUGGGGGGGGGCCCUACUCGACCACCCAGUCCGCAGCUGGCACCAUCGUGCGGCUUGGCAGGAGAGUCUCAGGCACUGAGGUUUACUUGCGAGGAGUCCUGACGGUGGGUCCCGGGCCACUCAUGCUCCCCGCGCCCCCACAGGGACGCACUGAAGGAGGACUAGGGCAGAAACUAGUCUCUCCCACUCCCUGUUUAUGGAGUUUUUAUCUUAAGAAAAAUAAAUACGUCUUCUGGGCAGGAA
Molecule: long non-coding RNA, 1770 nt
Organism: Phacochoerus africanus (Common warthog)
Lineage: Eukaryota; Metazoa; Chordata; Mammalia; Artiodactyla; Suidae
Exons: 3
Source: RefSeq, a predicted model, not a curated record